GGAAAUAGCUCAGUGGUAGGGUGCAUGCUUAGCAUACAUGUGGUCCUGGGUCCAAUCCCCAGUACUUCCA
This 70-nucleotide transfer RNA is filed under the name Camelus bactrianus (Bactrian camel). It matches the Rfam family "tRNA". From Rfam's summary of the family: Transfer RNA (tRNA) molecules are approximately 80 nucleotides in length. Their secondary structure includes four short double-helical elements and three loops (D, anti-codon, and T loops). RNAcentral also lists the same sequence under 2 other names. The record is from Rfam by way of RNAcentral. Lineage: Eukaryota; Metazoa; Chordata; Mammalia; Artiodactyla; Camelidae.